Molecule: ribosomal RNA, 442 nt
Filed under: uncultured bacterium
Lineage: Bacteria
Description: partial 16S ribosomal RNA
Rfam family: Bacterial small subunit ribosomal RNA
Source: RNAcentral
CCUACGGGUGGCAGCAGUGGGGAAUAUUGGGCAAUGGGCGCAAGCCUGACCCAGCAACGCCGCGUGCAGGAAGAAGGCUUUCGGGUUGUAAACUUCCUUUGACAGGGAAGAGCAGAAGACGGUACCUGCCGAAUAAGCUACGGCUAACUACGUGCCAGCAGCCGCGGUAAUACGUAGGUGGCAAGCGUUGUCCGGAUUUACUGGGUGUAAAGGGCGUGUAGUCGGGCUGACAAGUCAGAUGUGAAACUCGGGGGCUCAACCCCCGAACUGCAUUUGAAACUGUUGGUCUUGAGUAUCGGUGAGGCAGGCGGAAUUCCUAGUGUAGCGGUGAAAUGCGUAGAUAUUAGGAGGAACACCGGUGGCGAAGGCGGGCUGCUGGACGACAACUGACGGUGAGGCGCGAAAGCGCGGGGAGCAAACAGGAUUAGAUACCCGGGUAGUC